UUUUGUUUGUUACUUUUGAUUAUUUUUAUUUUCAUGACUUUGUUUUGAAUUUAGUUUCCUCAGUCUUUUCUUAAUAAUUUUUGUCUAGGUCACCCUGCUCCUCCUUCCUGCCUGCUUUAUGGGGUCCUACGCCAUCACUCAAAUAGAAGAGGCUGGAGGAAAAGGCCGGCGGUUCCGAGGAUGCACACCAGGACAAAAACCCACAGAAAGAUGCGGUCGAUCACCAUGGCGACGUAUUUCCAAUCGUCCUGAACCUGUGAGAGGAGCGACAAUGACAAAGCAGGGAAUGAACACGAGCAAGCGGUGGGCUCCCUGACACGUCGGCCAUCAUCUGGGUUGUGAAGUCGUAAAGGUUAUGAAUGGCGGGGAGUGAUUCGCUGAGAUGGAAUGAGGUGACGAGGCGGGCUUUUAAUUAACUUUUCGCCUGCCGCUGAUGUGGAGGACGGGAGAGCAGGAUAAAUCAGCUAGGACAACAGCAAUCUGCUGCUUUAUUGGUGCGCACACAAGACCCUUGGCAUGACGAUGUGCAUGUCAAGCAGAUCUUUUGCCGGUGACAUGAACAAUGCACAUUGGGCCGUUACAUUUGCUUCAUUGAACAAUGUGAAAAUGGUGCAAUGACUAGAAUGUAACUCAGUAGAGCGCAGACCUGCACAAAGGCUGAACUGCUGACUUACAGUAUGUGUCAAGCAGGUUACUUCCUGGUUCAUGUUGGAUGAUGGUCAGUCACAUGGGAGUUCACCAUUCUGGGGGCAUGGGGACGCUUCUAUUAAUGGCCUAAUAGAUAUAAAGCAUAACUGCAGCUUUAUCCGGACCUUCACCGAAAUAUAAAGAAGUUCACACAUAAAGACCAGAAAAAAUGAUGACUCGUAGUUGAUCAUGUUGAAAGUUUAGUAGCGAUUUUGUCUUCUUUUUUUAAGUCUACUGUAUGUGUGUGUGCAAACAUGCAUGUCACCAUUGUAACUCUAACUGCAGAGCUAACAUAGUGACAUGCUCUCAAACACACAUACAC
This is a long non-coding RNA of Hippocampus zosterae (dwarf seahorse), 1009 nucleotides long. RefSeq lists it as uncharacterized. NCBI's taxonomy places the organism in Eukaryota, Metazoa, Chordata, Actinopteri, Syngnathiformes, Syngnathidae. The transcript has 3 exons. The record is from RefSeq and is a predicted model, not a curated record.